This 428-nucleotide long non-coding RNA is filed under the name Elaeis guineensis (African oil palm). RNAcentral describes it as "long non-coding RNA (EGUI_LNC053456)". Lineage: Eukaryota; Viridiplantae; Streptophyta; Magnoliopsida; Arecales; Arecaceae. The record is from RNAcentral.
CUCUCUUUGAGUUUAAUUUUUCUCCCAUUGCUUCAUUUUGGUUAAAUAAUUUUUUAAAAAAUAGCAUGUCAGAUCAUAAUCAUAUUGUAAUCCUUUCAGAAGGUAGUAUCUCAAACUCUUUUAGGAUGAGCUUCAUGGAUCUAUCCUCUAACAUAUCUGCCUACUGUCCUUGACACAGACUGGACAUCUUUGGAUCUUGAAAUAACCAAGAUUCAGUUCUCACCAUGCCAUAUCUCAUAUGGUGUGGUAGGAAUAGAUUUAGAGAGAACCCAAUUCUAUAGAAAUAAAGUAUAUCCUUAAAGAAAUAAAAUAAAUCAGUGAAGUCCAUCAUAGACCAGACCAUAUCUCAUAUGGUCCCAUAACUCUUCUUAUCUCAUUGAGCUGAGAUGUAUUAAGAGCGGUCCAGUAUAAAACUAUACCAUUUUAUG